Gopherus evgoodei (Goodes thornscrub tortoise) is the source of this 933-nucleotide long non-coding RNA. RefSeq lists it as uncharacterized. The transcript has 4 exons. NCBI's taxonomy places the organism in Eukaryota, Metazoa, Chordata, Testudines, Testudinidae. The record is from RefSeq and is a predicted model, not a curated record.
CAGGAAUAUACCAUCUUGCACUGCUCAGGACCAGCAAUUAGGUGAUUGCACGCUAUGUCUGAUGGAGGUGGGUAGGAAUUCACAGAUUCCCUGGCUGAAGCACAGCUCUACCGCAACCAGCGUCAUACCUGGCGUGGGAGACAAUCGCAUAGUGUGAGGACCUUGUCAAUGAGGAGGAAUGGGGGAAAGGCAUAGAGGAGUUGACCUGACCAUGACACGAAAGCAUCUGAGAUCGCAUUCCUCCCCACCCAUCCUCUCAAACAGAAUCGGUGGCAAUGCCAGUUCUGUCAGGUCGCAAACAAGUCUACUUGGGGAGUGCCCCACGCUCAGAAGAGCUGGUCCUUGCUAUCAAAGGGAAGAUCCUGCAUCACAGACUGUGCUUCCGUGGAGAGCCUGGACAGCAGUAGCCACAAUGCCCUGUGCAUGGACACCACCGAGGCCAUGGACCGAGUAGCUAUGUCAGUUGCUGCCAACAGAGCAGCCUUUGCAGCAGUGGCACCCUCCUCAAUGAGUGCCUUAAAUUCCUUCCUUUCACGUUCUGGGUUCAAAUUUCAGCAGUGAUCCCCCACAAGUUUAAACUCAUUAAGGAGGGCUUGGUGGUUGGCCACCAGGAGCUGGAAACUGGACAAUGAAUAAAGUUUCCUACCAAAUGAGUCCAGCCUUAUAGAGUCCUUAUUCUUGGGUGUGGGUCCUGGUUGACCCUGUCUCUCCCUAUGAUUUACAGACUCCACCACUAGGGAGUGGGGGGCCGAGUGGGUAUAGAGAUACUUGUGCCCUUUCGUGGGCACAAAAUAUUUGUGCUCUGCCUUCUUUGAUAUUGGCACAAGGGAGGCUGACGUUUACCAGAGGGCAUUGGAAAUGUUAGCCACCCCUUCAUGCAGCAGCAGGGCCACUCUGCUUGGUGCCGAAGGCGAGAGGACAUUGAAGAGCGAG